RNAcentral lists this ribosomal RNA (753 nucleotides) under Chryseobacterium indoltheticum. RNAcentral describes it as "bacterial SSU rRNA". It matches the Rfam family "Bacterial small subunit ribosomal RNA", at positions 1 to 760 of the family's 1533-position model. The record is from RNAcentral. Lineage: Bacteria; Pseudomonadati; Bacteroidota; Flavobacteriia; Flavobacteriales; Weeksellaceae.
UAGAGUUUGAUCAUGGCUCAGGAUGAACGCUAGCGGGAGGCCUAACACAUGCAAGCCGAGCGGUAGAGAUCUUUCGGGAUCUUGAGAGCGGCGUACGGGUGCGGAACACGUGUGCAACCUGCCUUUAUCAGGGGGAUAGCCUUUCGAAAGGAAGAUUAAUACCCCAUAAUAUAUUGAAUGGCAUCAUUUGAUAUUGAAAACUCCGGUGGAUAGAGAUGGGCACGCGCAAGAUUAGAUAGUUGGUAGGGUAACGGCCUACCAAGUCAGUGAUCUUUAGGGGGCCUGAGAGGGUGAUCCCCCACACUGGUACUGAGACACGGACCAGACUCCUACGGGAGGCAGCAGUGAGGAAUAUUGGACAAUGGGUGAGAGCCUGAUCCAGCCAUCCCGCGUGAAGGACGACGGCCCUAUGGGUUGUAAACUUCUUUUGUAUAGGGAUAAACCUUUCCACGUGUGGAAAGCUGAAGGUACUAUACGAAUAAGCACCGGCUAACUCCGUGCCAGCAGCCGCGGUAAUACGGAGGGUGCAAGCGUUAUCCGGAUUUAUUGGGUUUAAAGGGUCCGUAGGCGGAUCUGUAAGUCAGUGGUGAAAUCUCAUAGCUUAACUAUGAAACUGCCAUUGAUACUGCAGGUCUUGAGUAAAGUAGAAGUGGCUGGAAUAAGUAGUGUAGCGGUGAAAUGCAUAGAUAUUACUUAGAACACCAAUUGCGAAGGCAGGUCACUAUGUUUUAACUGACGCUGAUGGACGAAAGC